Molecule: transfer RNA, 92 nt
Filed under: Acinetobacter marinus
Lineage: Bacteria; Pseudomonadati; Pseudomonadota; Gammaproteobacteria; Moraxellales; Moraxellaceae
Also listed under: 4 other names
Description: tRNA-Ser
Rfam family: tRNA
About the family: Transfer RNA (tRNA) molecules are approximately 80 nucleotides in length. Their secondary structure includes four short double-helical elements and three loops (D, anti-codon, and T loops).
Source: RNAcentral
GGUGAGAUGUCCGAGUGGCCGAAGGUGCUUCCCUGCUAAGGAAGUGUGGGUUUUAUAGCUCACCGAGGGUUCGAAUCCCUCUCUCACCGCCA